RNAcentral lists this ribosomal RNA (584 nucleotides) under Pomatoschistus marmoratus (marbled goby). RNAcentral describes it as "partial 16S ribosomal RNA". It matches the Rfam family "Bacterial large subunit ribosomal RNA", at positions 1814 to 2608 of the family's 2925-position model. Lineage: Eukaryota; Metazoa; Chordata; Actinopteri; Gobiiformes; Gobiidae. The record is from RNAcentral.
CAUCGCCUCUUGAUAUACAAACAUGAGAGGUCCCGCCUGCCCUGUGACCACAAGUUUAACGGCCGCGGUAUUUUGACCGUGCAAAGGUAGCGUAAUCACUUGUCUUUUAAAUGAAGACCUGUAUGAAUGGCAUAACGAGGGCUAAGCUGUCUCCUCUCCCCAGUCAAUGAAAUUGAUCUUUCCGUGCAGAAGCGGGAAUGAAAACAUAAGACGAGAAGACCCUAUGGAGCUUAAGACACAAGGCAGCAAACGUUAAGACCACUGGACAAACAGCUGCAACCAAGUUAGCGCCUGCCCCUUUGUCUUUGGUUGGGGCGACCGCGGAGGAACAAAAAUCCCCCACGUGGAACAGGACCUGCUCCUCAAGACCAGAGCCUCAGCUCUAGUAAACAGAACAUCUGACCAUAAAGAUCCGGUAAUACCGAUCAACGGACCGAGUUACCCUAGGGAUAACAGCGCAAUCCCCUUUCAGAGCCCAUAUCGACAAGGGGGUUUACGACCUCGAUGUUGGAUCAGGACCCCCUAAUGGUGCAGCCGCUAUUAAGGGUUCGUUUGUUCAACGAUUAAAGUCCUACGUGAUCUGA